AACGAACGCUGGCGGCAUGCCUAACACAUGCAAGUCGAACGAUUGCCUUCGGGUGAUAGUGGCGCACGGGUGCGUAACGCGUGGGAAUCUGCCCUUAGGUUCGGAAUAACAGCUGGAAACGGCUGCUAAUACCGGAUGAUAUCGCGAGAUCAAAGAUUUAUCGCCUGAGGAUGAGCCCGCGUUGGAUUAGGUAGUUGGUGGGGUAAAGGCCUACCAAGCCGACGAUCCAUAGCUGGUCUGAGAGGAUGAUCAGCCACACUGGGACUGAGACACGGCCCAGACUCCUACGGGAGGCAGCAGUGGGGAAUAUUGGACAGUGGGCGCAAGCCUGAUCCAGCAAUGCCGCGUGAGUGAUGAAGGCCCGAGGGUUGUAAAGCUCUUUUACCCGGGAAGAUAAUGACUGUACCGAAAGAAUAAGCCCCGGCUAACUCCGUG
This 435-nucleotide ribosomal RNA is filed under the name uncultured bacterium. RNAcentral describes it as "partial 16S ribosomal RNA". It matches the Rfam family "Bacterial small subunit ribosomal RNA", at positions 29 to 507 of the family's 1533-position model. The record is from RNAcentral.